UCCCCAGUAGCUCAAUGGUGGAGCAACCGGCUGUUAACCGGUAGGUUGUAGGUUCGAGCCCUACCUGGGGAGCUA
Molecule: transfer RNA, 75 nt
Filed under: Caldanaerobius fijiensis DSM 17918
Lineage: Bacteria; Bacillati; Bacillota; Clostridia; Thermoanaerobacterales; Thermoanaerobacteraceae
Description: tRNA_Asn_GTT
Rfam family: tRNA
About the family: Transfer RNA (tRNA) molecules are approximately 80 nucleotides in length. Their secondary structure includes four short double-helical elements and three loops (D, anti-codon, and T loops).
Source: RNAcentral